GGGGGGGUAACACAAAAAACUUUUUUAUUUUCAAUUUCUACAUUUUUCUUUUAUUUUUUCUUUUCUUUGGUGCGCUUGAGCUUUUUGAAAUACAAGUGAUUGGUUAGGAGCAUGUACAUAUGUUGCUUAUGUUUACAAAUAAAUUUGGCAUGAUGGUAGGUGAUUUUAUGUUUUUUUAUUAGACUACUAAGUUUUAUAUGUUACACUCU
Molecule: long non-coding RNA, 209 nt
Filed under: Gossypium raimondii (Peruvian cotton)
Lineage: Eukaryota; Viridiplantae; Streptophyta; Magnoliopsida; Malvales; Malvaceae
Description: long non-coding RNA (GRAI_LNC008560)
Source: RNAcentral